RNAcentral lists this ribosomal RNA (304 nucleotides) under uncultured bacterium. RNAcentral's name for it is "partial 16S ribosomal RNA". It matches the Rfam family "Bacterial small subunit ribosomal RNA", at positions 506 to 807 of the family's 1533-position model. The record is from RNAcentral.
CAGCAGUAGCCACGGGAAUACGGAGGGUGCAAGCGUUAAUCGGAAUUACUGGGCGUAAAGCGCACGCAGGCGGUCUGUCAAGUCGGAUGUGAAAUCCCCGGGCUCAACUCGAAGUCUGCACCGAAAACUGCCGGGCUUGAGUAUGGGAGAGGUGAGUGGAAUUUCCGGUGUAGCGGUGAAAUGCGUAGAUAUCGGAAGGAACACCUGUGGCGAAAGCGGCUCACUGGACCAUUACUGACGCUGAGGCGCGAAAGCUAGGGGAGCAAACAGGAUUAGAUACCCCAGUAGUCCCUGUCUCUUAUAC